RNAcentral lists this ribosomal RNA (468 nucleotides) under uncultured bacterium. RNAcentral's name for it is "partial 16S ribosomal RNA". It matches the Rfam family "Bacterial small subunit ribosomal RNA", at positions 28 to 507 of the family's 1533-position model. The record is from RNAcentral.
GACGAACGCUGGCGGCGUGCUUAACACAUGCAAGUCGAACGGAAAGGCCCUGCUUUUGUGGGGUGCUCGAGUGGCGAACGGGUGAGUAACACGUGAGUAACCUGCCCUUGACUUUGGGAUAACUUCAGGAAACUGGGGCUAAUACCGGAUAGGAGCUCCUGCUGCAUGGUGGGGGUUGGAAAGUUUCGGCGGUUGGGGAUGGACUCGCGGCUUAUCAGCUUGUUGGUGGGGUAGUGGCUUACCAAGGCUUUGACGGGUAGCCGGCCUGAGAGGGUGACCGGACCCAUUGGGACUGAGAUACGGCCCAGACUCCUACGGGAGGCAGCAGUGGGGAAUAUUGCACAAUGGGCGGAAGCCUGAUGCAGCAACGCCGCGUGCGGGAUGACGGCCUUCGGGUUGUAAACCGCUUUCGCCUGUGACGAAGCGUGAGUGACGGUAAUGGGUAAAGAAGCACCGGCUAACUACGUG